GAAAUGCGAUAAUUAAUGUGAAUUGCAGAAUUCAGUGAAUCAUCGAGUCUUUGAACGCACAUUGCGCCCCCUGGUAUUCCGGGGGGCAUGCCUGUCCGAGCGUCAUUGCUGCCCUCAAGCACGGCUUGUGUGUUGGGCUUCCGUCCCUGCCAACGGGGACGGGCCCAAAAGGCAGUGGCGGCACCAUGUCUGGUCCUCGAGCGUAUGGGGCUUUGUCACCCGCUCCCGUAGGUCCAGCUGGCAGCUAGCCUCGCAACCAAUCUUUUUAACCAGGUUGACCUCGGAUCAGGUAGGGAUACCCGCUGAACUUAAGC
This 314-nucleotide unclassified non-coding RNA is filed under the name plant metagenome. RNAcentral describes it as "partial contains 5.8S ribosomal RNA, internal transcribed spacer 2, and large subunit ribosomal RNA". The stretch from base 1 to 105 matches the Rfam family "5.8S ribosomal RNA", at positions 50 to 154 of the family's 154-position model. The record is from RNAcentral.